AAGAAAGUAAAUUACGAUCCAAGAACAUCUAUUAAAGAUCGAAUGCCUGUGCCCGGCUCUUGGUACCGUGCCAGCGCAGGCACCGAGACCUUAGUCCCCUCCUUGACCACGUUUGUUUCCUGGCCAUCCAUUGAAGAGGCUUUCUUAGCCACAAGCUUCUCCUGAGAUGGGGCAUUUGGAACGCUGGUGAUCAUUGUUUGGAGUACUGUGCACUUCCACUUUACUCACCACUGAAGCCUCAGCUUAUUUCCCUACGAUGGCUGAUAAACACCCUUGGAGAAGCACAAGAGCAUGUCUGUCAUUCACGUAGCCCAUCCUCUGCAUUGGGACAUUUAAAUACUUUUCAUUUUAGUCUGUUAUAAAUCAUUUUAAUUUUGCUAUUGCAGUUAGUUGCACUUGUAUGUAGUAGAUGAAUGUCCUUGGGCCUGUAGCUUUUGGUAGCUGCAUUCACACCAGCCCCUGAAAGCGGAGGGCACAGGCUCACACUUCCUGCUCUGCCUCACACAGCCCCGGUGCCGUCUAAAACACAGGUUCAUUGCGCAAGCUGUGAUGACUCCAUCCAGCCAUGAUUAGGUGUGUUAUUUCAUUGAAAAAUUGUUUAAAGAAAAGGUUUUAAAACACUAUCUACUAUCUUGGGGUUUUUUCCAAAGCCAGAAUACCCAGAAUAUCAUUUAUAUUUGAGUUUCAUUUUUCUCUACUGGUGUGAGACCAUAGGAGGAUCUUGUUAGCAUUAUCAAGAAUGUAAUCUUGGGACAUUGGUUUGAGUCAUCUCUGUAACAUCAGGAGGAUAC
This 791-nucleotide long non-coding RNA is filed under the name Rattus norvegicus (Norway rat). RNAcentral describes it as "long non-coding RNA NONRATT003686". The record is from RNAcentral. Lineage: Eukaryota; Metazoa; Chordata; Mammalia; Rodentia; Muridae.